RNAcentral lists this unclassified non-coding RNA (189 nucleotides) under plant metagenome. RNAcentral's name for it is "partial contains small subunit ribosomal RNA, internal transcribed spacer 1, and 5.8S ribosomal RNA". The record is from RNAcentral.
UCUCCGUUGGUGAACCAGCGGAGGGACCAUUACUGGAAUCGCAAGAUCCCACAACCCUGUGAACCUACCGAAACGUUGCCUCGGCGGGCGCAGCGCCCGGCGGCGGCCCCCUGCUCUGUCUCUGCAGCGUGGCAUCUCAGAGUCCCAGAAAACAAGUCAAAACUUUCAACAACGGAUCUCUUGGCUCUA